UACGAGAGGCCCAAACGUUAUUCGGAAUUACUGGACUUAAAGAGUUCGUAGGCGGCGCAGAAAGUAGGGUGUGAAAGCCCUCGGCUCAACCGAGGAAUUGCGCUCUAAACUACUGUGCUUGAGGAAUCUAGAGGUGAGCGGAACUGAUGGUGGAGCGGUGAAAUGCGUUGAUAUCAUCAGGAACACCGGAGGCGAAGGCGGCUCACUGGGGAUUUUCUGACGCUGAGGAACGAAAGCCAGGGGAGCGAACGGG
RNAcentral lists this ribosomal RNA (253 nucleotides) under uncultured bacterium. RNAcentral's name for it is "partial 16S ribosomal RNA". It matches the Rfam family "Bacterial small subunit ribosomal RNA", at positions 524 to 776 of the family's 1533-position model. The record is from RNAcentral.